GUGAGCCCCGUCUGUCCGUUGCUGGGGCGACCCUGGGCCUUGAGGAGCCACCUGACUUUAAAUGGUGCAGGGCGUCCCUAGUGCCUGCACAGUAAGGCUCUGUUGCUUGAGUUCCUGUGUUUGAUCUUCAACAUUGUGGACUAAGACGGGCAGGCUUUUCUCUUCAUUCUUGAGUUUUCACUGGGGCCCUGGGGCUCAAUCUCUUGAAGGAAAGUUGUUGGAGGAAGAGGGCAUACCAGAAAAGAAGGAGCAAUGGAAUAUUAUUCAGCAAUAAAAAGGAAUGAACAACUGUUACAUGCUACAACGGGGAUGAACCUUGAAGACAUUAUGCUAAGUGAAAGAAGCCAGGGACAAAAGAUCAUGUAUUGUAUGAUUCCCUUUAUAUGAGAUGUCAAGCACAGACAAAUUCUUAGAGCCAGAAAUAGAUUAGUGGUUGCCUAGGGCUGAGGGAGGAUGUGGGGAAUGAGGGUGACUGCUAAAGUGUAUGGAGUUUCUUUUGGGGUGAUGAAAAUGUUCUAAAAUUGAUUGUGGUGAUGGUGCAUAACAUAGUAUACUAAAAACCAUUGAAUUGUACACAUUAAAUGGAUAGAUUGCAUGGGAUGUGAAUUAUAUCUGAAUAAAACUGUUACCAAAAAGAAAAGAAAGGAAGGAAAGAAGGAAGGAAGGAAGGAAGGAAGGAAGGUGAGAGCAAGGAAGUAGAGGUGGAAAGUGUUGUAUCUAAUUUAGGAGGCAUGGGAUGGAUCGGUCUGGCUAGCAUUUAAGGAAGCAGCUAGGAAUAAAGUUGAGGCCAAAUUACAAAGGGCCUAGAACUUCAUGUCAAAGAGUUUGGGCUUGAUUUCUAACUCUGAGCUGUCAAGUAUAGUAGCCACUAGCCAUAUGUGACAACUGAGCACUUAAAAUAUGGCUAGUUCAAGUUGAGGUGUGGCAUAGGCACAAAAUACACACCAGAUUUCGAAGACUUAGAAUGAACACAAGAAUAUAAAACCUCAUUAAUAGUUUUAUAUUGAUUACAUCUUGAUAGAUUGGGUUAAAUAAAAUAUAUUAUUACUCUUAAUUUUUAGAAUCAUGUUUAUUUUACUUUUUAAGAUGGCUACUAGAAAAUUUUAAAUUACCUCUGUGGCUCACGUUAUAUUUCUAUCGGACGGCGCUGUUAUGGAUAGGGGGAGCCCAUUGAGUGUUGUUGAAUCAGAACAGGGGUUGGCAAAUGUUCUCUAUAAAGGGCCAGAUGGCAAAUAUUUUAGGACUUGAGGGCCGCAGUCUCGGUCACAACUGCUCCGCUCUGCUGUUGUGGUGCAGAGGCAGCUAUGGACAAUGCAUAACAAAUAAGCACAGUUGUGUUCCAGGACAGCUUGACUUAUAGAUGCUGAAGUUUGAAUCUCAUAUGAUUUUUACUUGUUAAGAAAUAUUAUUCUUCUUUUGAUUUUUUACCCCAAUGUAAAAAAUGUAAAUUUUAAAAUUAAAAAUUUUACAAUUUAAAAAUGUGAAAAAACCUUGCUAGGGCUGGCCCCGUGGCCAAGUGGUUAAGUUCGCACGCUCUGCUUCUGUGGCUUGGGGUUUCACGGGUUCGGAUCCUGGUUGUGGACAUGGCACCACUCAUCAAGCCAUGCUGAGGCAGCAUCCCACAUGCCAAAACUGGAAGGACUCA
Equus asinus (donkey) is the source of this 1645-nucleotide long non-coding RNA. NCBI's taxonomy places the organism in Eukaryota, Metazoa, Chordata, Mammalia, Perissodactyla, Equidae. The record is from Ensembl.